Molecule: non-coding RNA, 319 nt
Organism: Heterocephalus glaber (naked mole-rat)
Lineage: Eukaryota; Metazoa; Chordata; Mammalia; Rodentia; Bathyergidae
Source: Rfam
GGAUGUGAGGGUGAUCUGGCUGUGACAUCUGUCACCCUAUUGAUCGCCAGGUUUGGUUCAGCUGAUCUGGCUGGCUAGGCAGGUGUCCCCUUCCUCCCUCUCAGUUCCAUGUGUGUCCUUUCCAGAGCUGCAUGUUCCACUGAAGAGGAUGCCCACUCCCAAUAGAGGAGAACUGUUUCCUUGGUCAAGAGUAUGAGUAGUUGCACUUCCCUGCUAGAAGCUCUGAAAAAGCUCUCAAGGUCCAAUUCCACUACACUGAUCUAUGCUUACCCAUAUAUUGGUACCACACUUUUUUCAUUACUGUAGUUUUGUGGUAAGU